CAUUAGGUGGCUGAAUGUAAGCAAUGGUCUCUUAAACCAUCCUAUAGUAUUUAACACCUACUUCUAAUGG
Molecule: transfer RNA, 70 nt
Filed under: Staphylinidae sp. BMNH 1274665
Lineage: Eukaryota; Metazoa; Arthropoda; Insecta; Coleoptera; Staphylinidae
Description: tRNA-Lys
Source: RNAcentral